This 489-nucleotide ribosomal RNA is filed under the name uncultured bacterium. Its description in RNAcentral is "partial 16S ribosomal RNA". It matches the Rfam family "Bacterial small subunit ribosomal RNA", at positions 29 to 507 of the family's 1533-position model. The record is from RNAcentral.
UUGAACGCUGGCGGCAGGCCUAACACCUGCAAGUCGAACGGUAACAGGCAGCAGCUUGCUGCUUCGCUGACGAGUGGCGGGCGGGUGAGUAAUGUCUGGGAAGCUGCCUGAUGGAGGGGGAUAACUACUGGAAACGGUCGCUAAUACCGCAUCAUGUCGCCAGACCAAAGAGGGGGACCUUCGGGCCUCUUGCCAUCGGAUGUGCCCAGAUGGGAUUAGCUUGUUGGUGGGGUAACGGCUCACCAAGGCGACGAUCCCUAGCUGGUCUGAGAGGAUGACCAGCCACACUGGAACUGAGACACGGUCCAGACUCCUACGGGAGGCAGCAGUCGGGAAGAUUGCACAAGGGGCGCAAGCCUGACGCAGAGAUGCCGCGCGUAUGAAGACGGGCUCCGGGUUGUAAAGAACGUCCCGCGGGGAGGAAGGGAGUAAAGUUAAGAUGGGAGACGAUAGACGUUACUCGCAGAAGAAGCAUCGGCUAACUCCGUG